Molecule: long non-coding RNA, 2027 nt
Organism: Saccostrea cuccullata (small rock oyster)
Lineage: Eukaryota; Metazoa; Mollusca; Bivalvia; Ostreida; Ostreidae
Exons: 2
Source: RefSeq, a predicted model, not a curated record
UCGGAUAUACCACGUGAUUGUUAUCGCUGGUGGAUGCUGCAAGUGUUUGUACACACCAUUUUUUGUAGAAAAACAUAACGAUUUCGGAUUAUUCAUCUUGAUCAAUGCUUAAUAAUCAGUGGAUUAGUAGUACAUACGACUUUAUGCACAGUAUGUAAGUGAUGAUAUUUCGGAUUCGCUUUGUGACUGUUUUUCGACUCCAUCGGAGCCUGGGUACAUGCGGGGUGUUUCAAAAUGGCGGACAUGACGAGGAUUGUGCCAAUCGGCCAUUCGUACAUUAGAAGGAUGGACAAGUAUAUGAAAGACAAGAUGUGAAAAAAAAAAUCUUUGUUUUGACCUAAAUUAUAAAUAGAUUCUCACUGUUGAUCCGUGGCCAAGGUGGGUUAAACGUUGAGGGUUUGGCGAAAUCGUGAACACUAUGUACUUUCUCCACAGCCCCUGACAUUAGCCUUUUUCAAAUCGGAGGUAACGAACUUUCCUUCGACCCCCCACGAAGAUUGUAAGGUAUAUUUCUUUUACUUCCUGAUUCAUGGUACGAGUGUGAAACAUGUAAUUUUAUGCAACUUCUCCGACGGGACCCUCACAACUUACCACCGGGAUGCAACAAUGUUGUUAUUGAGAUUAAUCAGCUUAGAAACUCUGUGUCUGAAUCCUUACCAUACACUGUGUGUGUCAUUUUGGAAACACCGGGGUUUUGGGACUAACCUACAGUACCUGAGGGAGUUCACCUACGUACAAAAUCAUGCAUGCAGUACCAAUCCAGUACCUAUGGUCAAUGGUCAAUCAAAGAUGCUGUGCUUCAAUCCUGCCGAAGAGACGCCCAGCCACAGACGAAACCUGGAGAAGAGGAAAGAGUCUAAAAAAUCAGAGUGAAGUGUCAAAACUGGUGGAGCAUCCAUCCGUGCAGAUUGAUAAUGAAAACAAGCAGACAAAAUUCUAAAGUAACAAGGUAGUCGCGGAACCCUCUUAAGAUGCUACAAGCAACAUAUCAGAAAUACUCAAUCAGUUAUUAAGUUCAGGCGAGCCAGCAACCCCCAAAACAGCAUAUUGACAUUGAUGGGAUUCCGCUCGGUGCAACAGUAGCACAACGCAUUAAACAAAAAAUCUGGGAAAAUCAGUAUUUAGAUUUGCGUGUGCUGCUGCAGCAGCGAGAGGAUCCAGUAUUUUGGGGGGUCUUUGACUUCCAACACCAGUCAACCCAAAUAAAUUAAGUGAAUUUCUAGUUCAUUAUGAUAGAUCUCUUUCAACUUAAUUAGUGCAGAGUUUUAAAUAGGAUUUUCGCCUGGGUUGUGUUUGCAGACCCCAUCAUAUCCAAUAUGUUGAGUAAUCAUAAAUCAGCAAGGGAGAACCAAAAUAUUAUCAAUGAUCACAUAGAAACAGGUCUGAAAAAGGGAAUUGAUGGACCAUUACCUGCACCCCCAUUAGAUCACUUUGUUGUAUCACCCCUACUGCGGCUUUAAACUUAGUGUCAAAAGGUAAUUCAAAUAAUUUUGGAAUAAUUCAUGACCUCUUUUUUCUAAAAGACCAGUCUGUGAAUGCCAACAUCUGCUGUACACUGUGAUUGGAUUGUUAAUGUUGGAAGUUUGGUUAAAAAAUUUAGUCAAUAUAUUUUAAGAGCAAAGUCUGACAUCAAAGAAGCCUAUAGAAUAGUUCCAAUUCACCCUCUAGAUCACCAUCUAUUAGGUUUUCAUUGGGAAAAUUCAUUUUUAAUAUUAUGAUAUAUGGUAACCAAUGUGAGCAAGUAGCAGUUGUCAAACUUUGAAACAUUAAGUUAUGCACUACAGUGGACAAUGGAAAUAAUUUUAAAGCAGCAGGGGUCUCUCAUAUCGUCGACGAUUUUUUUGUGGGCCCACCAAAUUCAUCAAAGUGUAGGUAUGUUCUAGCCAGUAUUUUAUUCUCAUGUAGGCAAAUUUAAAAGUGCAAAAAGGUCUCAUUGAAAGAAUUACAGUCAGCACAUAAGUCUUCUUUACUUCGCAUGUGGGGUAGCUAGUAGUACCUGGUAGAGCCUUUUUAAGGCGUUUAAUCAU